GAUGAAGAACGCAGCGAAAUGCGAUACUUGGUGUGAAUUGCAGAAUUCAGUGAAUCAUCGAAUCUUUGAACGCACAUUGCGCCCCUUGGUAUUCCGAGGGGCAUGCCUGUUCGAGCGUCAUUAUAACCCCUCAAGCUCAGCUUGGUGUUGGGGCCUGCUGCACUGGCAGCCCUUAAAAUCAGUGGCGGCGCCAUCUGGCUCUAAGCGUAGUAAUUCUUCUCGCUAUGGAGUCCUGGUGGAUGCUUGCCAUCAACCCCCAAUUUUUCUAUGGUUGACCUCGGAUCAGGUAGGGAUACCCGCUGAACUUAAGCAUAUCAAUAAGCGGAGGA
This 329-nucleotide unclassified non-coding RNA is filed under the name soil metagenome. RNAcentral's name for it is "partial contains 5.8S ribosomal RNA, internal transcribed spacer 2, and large subunit ribosomal RNA". The stretch from base 1 to 120 matches the Rfam family "5.8S ribosomal RNA", at positions 35 to 154 of the family's 154-position model. The record is from RNAcentral.